MicroRNA precursor from Chlorocebus sabaeus (green monkey), 72 nucleotides. The record is from Ensembl. Lineage: Eukaryota; Metazoa; Chordata; Mammalia; Primates; Cercopithecidae.
CUGUGCACCUGGGGGAGUGCAGUGAUUGUGGAAUGCAGAGUCCCACAAUCACUGCACUCCCCAGGUGCACAG